GAUGAACGCUGGCGGCGUGCCUAAUACAUGCAAGUCGAGCGAACAGACGAGGAGCUUGCUCCUCUGACGUUGGCGGCGGACGGGUGAGUAACACGUGGAUAACCUACCUAUAAGACUGGGAUAACUUCGGGAAACCGGAGCUAAUACCGGAUAAUAUAUUGAACCGCAUGGUUCAAUAGUGAAAGACGGUUUUGCUGUCACUUAUAGAUGGAUCCGCGCCGCAUUAGCUAGUUGGUAGGGUAACGGCUUACCAAGGCAACGAUGCGUAGCCGACCUGAGAGGGUGAUCGGCCACACUGGAACUGAGACACGGUCCAGACUCCUACGGGAGGCAGCAGUAGGGAAUCUUCCGCAAUGGGCGAAAGCCUGACGGAGCAACGCCGCGUGAGUGAUGAAGGUCUUCGGAUCGUAAAACUCUGUUAUUAGGGAAGAACAAAUGUGUAAGUAACUAUGCACGUCUUGACGGUACCUAAUCAGAAAGCCACGGCUAACUACGUG
This 497-nucleotide ribosomal RNA is filed under the name uncultured bacterium. RNAcentral describes it as "partial 16S ribosomal RNA". It matches the Rfam family "Bacterial small subunit ribosomal RNA", at positions 28 to 507 of the family's 1533-position model. The record is from RNAcentral.